UCCUCACACGCUCCUGGCCACCUGGGGU
RNAcentral lists this non-coding RNA (28 nucleotides) under Homo sapiens (human). The record is from RNAcentral. Lineage: Eukaryota; Metazoa; Chordata; Mammalia; Primates; Hominidae.